UGGGCGUCGCCAAGGCAAUAGGAAAACCCCGGAGCUUGCGGAGACCCAACGGUUUGAGAUUCUAGAAAGUGUUUGGCGUCAUUGGGAAACACCUGCCGAGGGAGAGAGGCGUUGGAGGAAUCUUGGAAUACAUGAGGUGAUAUUCCUUUUAUUCACGGGAAGUUUUCGGAUUAAACCCUGGGGAUGAAGCCAGGCAGGCAUCGCAGAAGAAAGCUCCUUUAUAACAAGCACUGGUGAUUGUAACUCAUAGAUCGUGAAUAAAAAGAAAGCUGCUCAGGUGCCCGAUUUAUAGGCAAUAGCUCUCUCUUACUUUCUCUUACUGCUUUAAAGGCUCUCCUUUGGGUAUUCCCUGAAAGAUUUUAGCUGGGGAAGAAAUGGUGAAUGGAAUUUCCUAAAAGCUUCUAGAACAGAGAAUGGUAGGACGGCGUAGAAUGGGAGAGAAUUGUAAAUUUGGAGGCCAAACAAGAGAAAACUAUGAAAAUGCUGGCUUGUCAGGCCCUGGAAGCUUCCAAGCAGGCUUGAAUUUCCACACAAGGUUUGAAGCGUGUGUGUCAGAACUUUUGUCUGGGUGGGAAAGAUAAGGAAUGGUAUUUUUGUCCAACCACAUGGGAAGUUCCCCUUCUUGAUUUUUAGAAGCUUUCCUGUCUAUUAUUUAGGAUCCUUUGGAUUUCUCCUGUUUCAUUCUCAACAAGUCCAGUAGGUUUGUGACCAGCCAGCAAGCAGGUCCUCAAAGUAAUUAUGCAUGUUUUUGAAAAGAUAAUCUUACCACGUUAUUUUAUUUCAUUUUAUUUUUUACUGUGACACAUUAUUAUUUGAUCCCUCCGUGGUUCUCAAAGAACAGACCUUUAUUCUGGGAGAACAGGAAGCCAAGGUCCGACAGCUUCUCGUAGGUGAUAACCCCCUACCUAGUGAUAGUUGGAUUUAAAUCUGCCCAAGAUUAACUAGAAUUCAGGUCAACUAGAGGAGGCAGCUUCCAAAUCCUAGACACUUGUCCAUUUGCUGUUUUCCCUUCCUUCAUACCACAUGAGGAUGUAUUAAGGAAACAGCUUUUCAGAUGCUGCAGUGUAAUAUGUCAAAGCUGAUUAUUCCACGUGCCAGCUAUGUAUACUGUGGAGGAUAAAGACAGUCAUUCAGUGGGCUGGGGUGUGUAGAGCGCUUUCCUAGCUUGUGGGAGGCACUGGGUUCAAUUCUCAGCACCACAUAUAAAUAAAUGAAUAAAAUAAAGAUCCAUCAACAUCUUAAAAUAAUUUUUUUUAAAAAACACAAUUAUUUAGAGGUGGGAGUGGUGACACAUGCCUGUAAUCCCAGCAGCUGGGGAGGUUGAAGCAGGAGGAUUGUAAAUUCCAGGCCAGUCUCAGCAAUUUAGUGAGGCUCUAAGCAACUUAGUGAGACCCUAUCUCCAAAUAAAAAUAAAAAGGUCUGAGGAUGUAGCUCAGUGGUUAAGCACCCUUGAGUUCAAUCCCUGGCACCAAAAAAAAAAAAAAAAAAAAGCCAUUCUUAAGUGGCAAAGUCUUAUGACAUUUGACACUUAGGGAUACUGACUCUGGACUUAUGAACACUUGCUCAUUGGAUUUAAUUUUGCUGCUGUUAUGGAUACCCAUGGAAUACUAGUUUGUCACAUAUAGCCUUAACAAUAUCAAACAUGCCCUUUAGAAUCAUUCAUAAGUUACUUUGGUGUAAGAUGGAAGCAAUUACCAGUGAUUCUGUUGGGUAGGAAUUAAAAAGCAAAUUUUAGUCAGGAGCAAGCGUGGUCUUUGUGACAUAGAUACACACAGAGACUAACAGAAUUACAGUAGUCACUGUUUUCCUAUGGCAGGACUGUUUCCAUAGUUACCAGGAUGUGAUAUGGUCAUAUCCUGGACCUUAUGUUUUGAUCUAUUUGAUGAAGCAUGUCUCUUAGGAACUUUUAACUAGUGAGUUGUGACUCACAAAGUUUCUUAAACCCACCUAAGGCAGAGAUGAAUUCCAAAGGAUUUUAGACUAAUAAAGGGCCUUACAAAAUAAACUCUAGCUCCUUGUUGUACAGGUAAAGAAACUGAAAUUUAAUGAUUUGCUCCGAAGUUUUGGUUGGAAGCAGGGCUGGGACAAGGACCCAAGGUUGCUAAUUUGUAAUUUUAGUAAAAUGUCCCCUCCUCCUGCUGCUUCUCUCCCAGUUCCUCUCCCAAAGCAAUGUAUAGUUUUAAAACUCAAGAUUAUUCAUUUUAACUUACGUUAAGACCAAUUAUGAGGAAUUCAAUUCUGAUAUAGUAGACAUUAGGAAAAUAACUUUUCUCACUACUUCAAACGACUUUUGAUGUAAUCCUGCUUUUAUCCACACAAGAAAUGAGAAAGCAAUAAAUUAUUAAAGCCAUGUUGUCUCUUUUUCUUUCUGUUAUGUGUUAAUAUUUAC
This 2389-nucleotide long non-coding RNA is filed under the name Marmota monax (woodchuck). Lineage: Eukaryota; Metazoa; Chordata; Mammalia; Rodentia; Sciuridae. The record is from RNAcentral.